GAAAAGUCAGUGUUUACUACAAAAAGCCUGAAGGGACUUAUACUCAUCAGAACAAAGACAAUAUGCCUAGCCAACUCCUGAAAAACUGCCAGAUACCAUUAUCCCUCCUCCACCAACUUUUACAAUUGGCACAAUCAGGCAGUUCAUGUUCUCCUGGCUUCCACCAAACCCAGACUCACCCAUCAGACUGCCAAACAGAAAAAAUGUGCUUCAUCACUCCACAGAACACUUUUCCACUGCUCCAGAGUCCAUUGGCAGAGUGCUUUACACCACUCGACCCCACAUGUGGCAUUGUACUUGGUGAUGUGAGGCUUGCAUGCAGCUGCUCGGCAUGGAAACUCAUUCCAUGAAGCUACCCCCAUACAGUUUUUGUGCUGAUUAAUGCGAGUGGAAGUUUGGAACUCUUCAGCUAUGGAUUCAGUAGUGUUU
Molecule: non-coding RNA, 429 nt
Organism: Pelobates cultripes (western spadefoot toad)
Lineage: Eukaryota; Metazoa; Chordata; Amphibia; Anura; Pelobatidae
Source: the annotation of a GenBank genome assembly